GCGACGACCUCUCUGACGAGGUGCAGAGCUUAGCUGAUUGGUGAACAGUGACUGGUUUCCGCUUUGUUCACAGUGGCUAAGUUCUGCACCUGAAGAGAAGGUGA
This is a microRNA precursor of Bison bison bison, 104 nucleotides long. Ensembl annotates it as microRNA 27b. Its record names the gene MIR27B. The record is from Ensembl. NCBI's taxonomy places the organism in Eukaryota, Metazoa, Chordata, Mammalia, Artiodactyla, Bovidae.